This is a non-coding RNA of Paramisgurnus dabryanus, 1473 nucleotides long. Lineage: Eukaryota; Metazoa; Chordata; Actinopteri; Cypriniformes; Cobitidae. The record is from RefSeq and is a predicted model, not a curated record.
ACUGCCGAAUAUACAGAAGUUAAAGCCGGAGCAAGAACCAGGUUUGCUAACUUUUGUUUGUCUGAUUAUUCUGACUUGUUGUUUCCGGACGGUUUCGGUGCAUGAUAUACGUCACGACCACAUGUUAGCGAUUGGCUUUGGCAGAUCCUGAGUGACUGCACUGUAACAAAUUGCUGUAGUUUCUACAGCAAAAUUUUACAGGAAAUUCCUGUUUUAACAUUUUACAAGAUUUUAGUGUAGUUCACAAUGCAUUAUGGGUAAAAGAAAGUAUUACAGCUGUUAACAGUAUAUUUUCAUUUAAACUGUAAUUGAAUUUACAGGCAGGAGGUGUUGCCACUGUAUAUCAUAUGUUUUUACAAAAAUUAAUUGUGAAAUGGCAUCAUGGGAUUGCGUGGGUGUAUUUACGUUUGAAAUGGACUUGAACACUGAAGAGUCAUCAUUCAAAUUGUUGGUAAGUUCACGUAAAUCAUUCAAAUAUAGUACAGUAUUAAACUAAUAUAGUACUAUUAUGGUCAUUUAAAUAGUGAUAUCUGGUAUGCGACCGCUAUACCAGAUAUUAUUAACAUAACAGAUGUUAAUAAUUUGUAUUUCACAACAGCGUGUCAUUAAGACAUGUAGCAAAAUAUAAAAUUAAAUUCUUUACAUUAUUUUAAAUGUUACAUUUGGUAGUUAUGUGUCAUUAACUUUAUAACGUUUCAGAUGUUUGUUUCAGGCAUGAGCGAGGCAGCAAAAAGCGCGAGGGGUCCGUAACGGCUGGACUGCAUGGUGGCAAAGAGUGGUGGUGAGACGAAUCUUCGAACUUACAGGCACGAGACAGCAGAGAUUGCAACUCUAACCUGAUAGGACUGGUGGUGUGAGACAAAUGAGAAAAGAUUAUUUUUAGGUGAAAUCCUCAAUGCAACUUAGUGGAUGCUGAGUAUGGACGGUCAGGUGGUUGUGAAUCCACACCCCAACCUUGUGGCUGGAUUUGCAGCUUUGUUCGCAUCAUACUACAACUUCAACCUGGUUUACCAUAGGGAGGCAUCCUCCACACUUGAAUUUGUUCAAAGAUGUUUUGUUGGAAUCACACCUACCACUGGCAUCAAGACAGCCAAAACAAAGGUUGGAGGCAAAAAAGUGGAAACGCCUCUGAGAAGAGAAACAACACCAUCAACCCUCAUGUGUGUACUCUUUUCAGAAAAUUAUUGGACUUUGAAUGGUUACGCAUGUAAGUUCUUGUUCAUGUAUUAAGACCAAAACAUAUUGUAAAUAGGCCAGUUCUGUGAUUGAGCACUUGUGUUUCUAGACAUACAAGUUAUGUUAUGUUCUAACACAGAUUCAACAAGAUCUUAAAUGUAACACAAACCGUGUUUAGAUGUUUUAUAGAUGCCAUUGUUUUAGAAUAUUAAGGAUUGAGUGGAAUAUUUGCUGAAACAACAUAAUUUUUUUGAAAGUACUUUGCUGUCAGUUUUAAUAAAUGUUGUUCUUGAAGCA